Molecule: unclassified non-coding RNA, 1020 nt
Filed under: Hevea brasiliensis (rubber tree)
Lineage: Eukaryota; Viridiplantae; Streptophyta; Magnoliopsida; Malpighiales; Euphorbiaceae
Source: RNAcentral
UGAAUUCUCCUUCUCUGACCUCAAAGCAGCCACUAACAACUUCAGCUCUGAUAACAUCGUCUCAGAGAGCGGUGAAAAGGCCCCCAAUCUUGUAUACAAGGGCCGCCUUCAGAACCGCCGCUGGAUCGCUGUUAAAAAGUUUACCAAGAUGGCUUGGCCCGAUCCUAAGCAGUUUGCGGAGGAGGCAUGGGGUGUGGGGAAGCUGAGGCAUAAAAUGCUGGCCAAUUUGAUAGGGUACUGCUGUGAUGGAGAUGAGAGGCUGCUUGUUGCUGAGUACAUGCCCAAUGAUACUUUAGCUAAGCAUUUAUUUCACUGGGAAAAUCAAACUAUUGAAUGGGCAAUGCGUUUAAGAGUAGCCUUCUGCAUUGCUGAAGCCUUAGAUUAUUGCAGUUCUCAGGACCGACCAUUAUACCAUGAUCUGAAUGCAUAUAGGGUUCUCUUUGAUGAGGACGGAGAUCCACUCCUUUCGUGUUUUGGCUUGAUGAAAAAUAGUAGGGAUGGGAAAAGUUAUAGCACAAAUCUUGCCUACACUCCUCCUGAGUACCUAAGAAAUGGAAGGGUCACCCCUGAAAGUGUUAUUUACAGUUUUGGUACCAUUCUUCUGGAUUUGAUAAGUGGAAAGCAUAUCCCUCCAAGUCAUGCUCUUGAUAUGAUAAGAGGAAAAAACAUAAAUCUGUUAAUGGAUUCACAUUUGGAGGGAAAUUACUCCAAAGAAGAAGCAACUGUGGUUGUUGAUCUUGCCUCUCGAUGUUUGCAAUAUGAACCCAGAGAACGGCCUAGUAUGAAGGAUCUUGUUGGAACACUGGCUUCCCUGCAAAUGAAACUCGAUGUUCCAUCCUAUGUAAUGCUUGGAAUUUCAAAAGAUGAGGAAACCCCACCUACUCCUCAGCGCCCUCUUUCCCCAAUGGGUGAGGCCUGUUCACGGAUGGACCUCACAGCUAUUCAUCAGAUCUUGGUUAUGACACACUACAAAGAUGAUGAAGGAACGAAUGAGUUAUCUUUCCAAGAGUGGACACAGCA